GUAGGAUAGAGGCCUACCAUGGUGGUAACGGGUAACGGGGUGUUAGGGCACGACACCGGAGAGGGAGCCUGAGAAACGGCUACCACAUCCAAGGAUGGCAGCAGGCGCGCAAAUUACCCAAUCCCGACACGGGGAGGUAGUGACAAUAAAUAACAAUACGGGGUUCUUUCGGAUUUCGUAAUUGGAAUGAGUACAAUUUAAAUCUCUUAACGAGGAACAAUUGGAGGGCAAGUCUGGUGCCAGCAGCCGCGGUAAUUCCAGCUCCAAUAGCGUAUAUUAAAGUUGUUGCAGUUAAAAAGCUCGUAGUUGAAUUUCGGGGUYAGUAGGUUGGUCRUGCCUCUGGUAUGUACUGRUCUUACUGAUUCCUCCUUCCUGAWGAACCGUAAUGCCAUUAAUUUGGUGUUGCGGGGAAACUGGACUGUUACUUUGAAAAAAUUAGAGUGUUUAAAGCAAGCUAACGCUUGAAUACAUUAGCAUGGAAUAAUGAAAUAGGACGUUCGAUCCUAUUUUGUUGGUUUCUAGGAUUGACGUAAUGAUUAAUAGGGAUAGUUGGGGGCAUUAGUAUUCAAUUGUCAGAGGUGAAAUUCUUGGAUUUAUUGAAGACUAACUACUGCGAAAGCAUUUGCCAAGGAUGUUUUCAUUAAUCAAGAACGAAAGUUAGGGGAUCGAAGACGAUCAGAUACCGUCGUAGUCUUAACCAUAAACUAUGCCGACUAGGGAUCGGAUGAUGUUAAUUU
Molecule: ribosomal RNA, 737 nt
Filed under: uncultured Glomeromycotina
Lineage: Eukaryota; Fungi; Glomeromycota
Description: SSU rRNA
Rfam family: Eukaryotic small subunit ribosomal RNA
Source: RNAcentral